GGUAGCCGGAUAGCUGCGUUGCAGAAUGGAAAAUCUGUUAAUGAGGAAAGUCCGGGCUUCACGGGAACAAGAUACCAGAUAACAUCUGGCUGGAGGAAUCCACGGGAAAGUGCCGCAGAAAGUUACCGCCGGACAGGUUCCGGUAAGGUUGAAAAGGCGAGGUAAGAGCUCACCGCAUAGGCAGAAAUGUUUAUGGCAAGGUAAACCCUAUCUGAAGCAAGACCAAAUUAGGAGGCAUUAAUAUUACAGUAUUAAUUGCAAGGAUUGUUUCCGGUCCGCUCCAGAGGUAGGUCGCACCAGUCAAACGGUGACGUUUGAUGCAGAUGAAUAGCUAUCGCACAAAUCUUUAUCGGUAACGGUAAAGCAAAUAAGUGUACAAAACCCGGCUUAUAGGCUACCUUA
RNAcentral lists this RNase P RNA (402 nucleotides) under bovine gut metagenome. RNAcentral describes it as "Bacterial RNase P class A". It matches the Rfam family "Bacterial RNase P class A". From Rfam's summary of the family: Ribonuclease P (RNase P) is a ubiquitous endoribonuclease, found in archaea, bacteria and eukarya as well as chloroplasts and mitochondria. Its best characterised activity is the generation of mature 5'-ends of tRNAs by cleaving the 5'-leader elements of precursor-tRNAs. The record is from RNAcentral.